UAUCUUGAACCGGAUUUGAACCAGCGACUUAAAGGAUAGCCGUUGACACAUCUAAAGUCCUCCGCUCUGCCAACUGAGCUAUUGAGAG
This 88-nucleotide transfer RNA is filed under the name Cordylochernes scorpioides. Its description in RNAcentral is "tRNA-OTHER". The record is from RNAcentral. Lineage: Eukaryota; Metazoa; Arthropoda; Arachnida; Pseudoscorpiones; Chernetidae.